RNAcentral lists this long non-coding RNA (459 nucleotides) under Rattus norvegicus (Norway rat). Its description in RNAcentral is "long non-coding RNA NONRATT011340". The record is from RNAcentral. Lineage: Eukaryota; Metazoa; Chordata; Mammalia; Rodentia; Muridae.
UGGAAGGGAUAGCACGAUUGGACACAGUUCCCACCCCUGGAACAGAGCCAGCAACACAUGGAUCUCCUUGAGUGCUGAUGAUUGCAGGAGGCAUUAAACUUUGUUUACAUAAUAAUAUACAUACUUUAUUUCAUGUUCCGCCUUAUGGGGAAUGUUCUCCCUGCCAAGAUUAAUGACUCCAUGAUUACCAGAAAUAGCACGAUUCAGGGAAGCAGGAAUGAGUAUAGUGAUCUUCAGCAAUAUGGUGACACUAUUACCUUCAAGUCAGCCCUUAAGGCUUUUGGAAAGAACUCUGAAAACAUGAGUUCAACAAUACAUAAAUUAGUGUAAACACUGUUCUUUUCAGGAUUUCUCAACUAUGCAAAUAGGGAUGUAGUAUGAAUUGUCUGAGAGUUUCACAGACUUGAAAGAACAGAGGCAGUUGCACAAUGAGUCAGCUUAGUAAAAAAGAUUAACAAA